UACGAAGGGUGCAAGCGUUACUCGGAAUUACUGGGCGUAAAGCGUGCGUAGGUGGUUUGUUAAGUCUGUUGUGAAAUCCCUCAGCUUAACUGGGGAACUGCGUCUGAUACUGGAUGGCUUGAGUUUGGGAGAGGGAUGCGGAAUUCCAGGUGUAGCGGUGAAAUGCGUAGAUAUCUGGAGGAACACCGGUGGCGAAGGCGGCAUCCUGGACCAACACUGACACUGAGGAGCGAAAGCCAGGGGAGCAAACGGG
RNAcentral lists this ribosomal RNA (253 nucleotides) under uncultured bacterium. Its description in RNAcentral is "partial 16S ribosomal RNA". It matches the Rfam family "Bacterial small subunit ribosomal RNA", at positions 524 to 776 of the family's 1533-position model. The record is from RNAcentral.